ACAGGGCAAUAUAACAAGAGGGCUGCUCUCUCCUUGCAAUCAAAGAAGGAAAAGAGAAUUGUAAUUUUUCAUUCAUUGGGACCCAGUGGCCCCUACCUCCACCUCAGGGACACACAGGCUCUAAAGAGGAUGCUGUGGAUAAACCCAAGAAACUGUCAGUUUAGAAGCCCACUCACAUUGUCAUGGAAACAAGAGAACCAACAGCAGAGCACCAUCAUCUCUUUAAGAACAACUAGCAUCAGUAGCUAGAGCAGAUUUAGCCACUGCAAUGUCACUAGCCACUGCAAUGUCACUGACAUAACCAUCAAAAAUAAUUCCUCCUCAAAGGGACUUGAGCCUUCACUAGUAUAGAGUUCAGAGCUCAGAGUGAAGUCAGGCAAACCUAGGUUUGCAACCCAUCUCUGCUAUUCCCCAGCUGUGUGACCAUAAACUUUUUAGCUGUCUUGUUCUCCCAUCUGUGUGGUGAGAUAAUAAUAUCAAACAUCUCUUCAGAUUGCUAUGAAAAUUUGGAGAAAAUAAUAGUUUCAGAGAUUUAACAUAUUCUUCAGAAUCUAAUUAAAAAAACAUGUUUUUAACUUUUGAAUAUCUUUUAUACAUUUUAUAGUACAUAUAAAGUACAUUAAAUAUAAAUACUCAGCUAAAUAAGUUAUUUGAACAUUAAGACCACCACUCAGAUUUUGCAAGUUUCCUUUGCUUCUUUUCAGAAUGUCUGUCAUUUUUUCAUCAUCUCCAACUCUGCUAAAAUUUUCAAGGUUUCCUUUUAGUUCCUUAAAUAUACUAAACCAGGGUAUUUUUAAAUAUCUAUUAAUUCUGUGUAGUCUCAUUAUAUCAGCUUGUCUCUCAGUGUGCCAGGUCAGUUUUUAUCAUGUGAUGGACAUAGUAUUUUUAGGAAUAAUUUUACGCCUCCAAUGAUACUGUCUUCCCCCAGAAAGGUGUUGUUGUUGUUUGCUUGGAUCGGGCACCCUGAGGUACCAGAAAUCGCCUUUAUCUCGUUAUAGGGAUUGAGUUCUUCUGGGCCAUAUACCUAACUCAAGCCUGGACCAAUUAGCUCUCCAGUCAUCCUUAUAUCUUUAGCCCUUCAUGGAUCUAAACCUAAAGCACUGCAUGGGGAUUUGUUACAGAUCCUAGACUCCAGCUUCUGCCUCUUUGGUUCCACAAACCUGUCAAAAAUACUUCUUAGCAUUUUUACCAUCUCUUUAAUAAUCUGCAAAUGUAAGCAACCUGAAGGCUCAUCUCAUCUCUCUGAAUAUCUGUUUCCACCUAGCUCUUGGCUCCACAAUCCUUUAGCAUAUUUAGGGCUCUUCUAUACCUUUAAGUACCUGUUUCUUCAACGUUGUCCAACUAUUAUUUUUGUUGAGAAUGUUUGUUAGAAUUACCUAGAGUGCUAUUACCAGAAAUGAAGUAUUGUCUCUAUUUAAUUACCCACAAUGAAUUGACCCACUUACUAAACAGAACUACUGCUUUAUUUGUGCCUCUCAUAAUACUUAGCACUUCCAACCUUGUAUUAUAAUUAUUUUUUAACAUUUCUCUAACUUAAUUAGAUUUUUUUAGCUUUUCCAGGACAGAAUACAUAAUCAUGUCUGACUCAUCUAUGCACUAUCCCCAAUUUCUGGAUAUUAUUCACACUCAACUUGCAGGAACUGUUAUGUGAAUGAAUAAACCCCAAUGUCUCCUAUUUGCACAAACUGAACACUUCUGACAUAGAACUUCUAAAUUAUCUUAAACCGUGUAAUGAGUCAUCUCAGUAGAAAUAGCAAGUAAGCCAUAAUCCCAAAUAUCAAUUUUGAUUUGUAUUAACGAGUUCCUCCAGAGCUUGUAUGAUAAGCAGUCACAUAUCUGGAGAAAUAAAUGAGUAUUAGGAUAUAACAAAUGAAAGCUUGGAUACCCCAGGUUGUAGUUUUAAUACUGAUCUGCAUAUUUCAUUCAUUAUUAGCACAGGUGACUCAAACUGUGUAGCCAUUGCUCUCAUUAAAAUUCAUUCACUCCCUCUGGAAUUCAUGGCAGCCAUCUGGCCAAGUAUUGGUUUCUUAUAUUUGAAACUCAAUUGCACUGAAGUCACUGAAUCUCUCAAUCAAUUACAAAGGAUCUGAGCUCUUAGGGCUUACAUUGAUUGGCCACCAUUUUCCUAAUGGUGUCAUAGUCUCUGUAAUUACCUAUUUGACAGGAGAGGUGCCUGCUUUCUGAAGGCUAUAUAUCCUAGCUCUUCAUUUACCUAAAAUGUUAGUUGGCAGCCCUCAUAAGAGCAUCAGCUAUGAAAUGUGAUUAGAGUUAAUGUAAGUGUAACAGAGUGUUCUCAUCUCAUCUCCGCUUACUGCAUAUGGUUGCCAUAUAUUAGCCUAUCACAUGGUUUGCAUUUUUGAAGCAACAUCAAUGUACAUUUUUGUUAUAAUUCAUUAAGAGCAAAAAUUUAUGCAUUUGCAUAUACAUUCAUGUGCAUACCCAUACUCAAAAAUUUCCAUUUAAUUCAGAAAGAUAACAGCUCUUUUUCCAAAUAUAGAAAACCUUCUGGCCCUCAGAACAUGAAGCAUAUUGAUCAUGCCUCUUUAAUAGACACACAAAAAAUAAUUAAGACCCCCUUCCUGAAUAUAUCGCAAUAAGUAGAAAGAAAACUGCUGUUAGAUUCAGACACAAUUUAGAUUCUACUGUAAACUACCUAUAUGGUAUAAGAAAAAAUUUUAAAUCUUUCUGAGCCUAUCUUUUAAUUUAUAGAAUUGAAAUAUUAGGAUCACUUUAUUUUAACAAUUAUAAUGUAGUUAUAAGUUUAUUAUAAUAUUUUUGCAGAGUUGAAAUAACAAAAAUAAAGCUCCUAGCAUAGUACAUAGAAAAUUUGACAUUUCAUUAGUCAGGUUUUGAUUAAUAAAGAAACUAUAAGCAUCCUGAAAUCUCAGUGGUUUACAACAGCACACAUCUGCUUCUUGUUCAGGAAUUUCCUGAAUGAGUGUGGCUCUGCUGAAUGGAUUUGAGCUUACCUGUCCAGUUCAACCGCACUUGGCUCCAGUCUAUAGUUUGAGUUCAGAUUGGCUCCACGAGUCUCUCUCUUAGGGAUUCAGGAUGAAAUGCACAUCUCAGGCAUGCUCUUCUCACUGUGGACAACAGAAGUGUAAGAAGGCUGGAGGAAAUUUGCUCAGACUUCACACACUAUCACUUUUAUACAAUUUUUUUAUUAUUAUUAUAGUUGGUUUACAAUGUUUCUUUAAGUUCUGUUGUACAACAAAGUGACCUAAUCACACACAUUUCCCUGUACCCCACUGCCCAACCAUUCCAAAUAUAACAGUUUGCAUCCAAAAAAACAUAAAAAAGACCCAUCCAUCCCACUUCUUCCUCUUUCCCCCCUGGGAACCCCAGGUCUCUUUUCUUUGGCCAUGAUCUGUUUCUGUGUUUUUAGAUGGAUCAUCUGUUUCAUAUUUUAGAUUCCACAAAUAAGUGAUAUCAUACGGUAUUUUUUUUUUUCUGGCUUACUUUACUCAGUAUGAGAGUCUCUAGUCCCACCCAUGUUGCUGCAAAUGGCAUUAGUUUGUCUUUUUUAUGGAUGAGUAAUAUUCCAUUCCACAUAUGCACCACGUUUUCUUAAUCCAUUAUAAACAUUUUACUGGCCUAGCAAGCUAUUUGGGCAACCCCAAAGUCAGUGUGGCAGAGAAGUGUGUUCCAGUCACAGGGAAUCGCUCCCCAGGAUAGGGAAAAAGGAACAACUAUGAAUAAAUGCUCACUACUACAUAAUUCAAGUCAUGGUAGUUGCUGUAAUUAGCUAUUGUAGGACAUUGUGAUGGUUCUAUCUACAAAAACAUCCUGAGAUCUGUUGGAGGAGGUAAUGGAGAGGAUGUAACAGAGAGGAUGUAACAGAGGUCCUGUGUGACCUGAAAACUGGAGAAGGGCAAUCUGAGGUUCUUCUCCUCCAUCAUUCUAUAGCCAGAACCAUUACAAUGAUGCAACCACCAGAGAGACAUGUGUUGUUAGGACCAUGCAUGACUGAAUCCUGUUAAGGUCUUUAUGUAAACUCUUAAGAUUCUGGCAGGCAAGUACAGAGAUCUACUUGUGACCACCCAAAACAAACUUAGUAUGUAAACUCCCUUGCUUAUUAAAACCAUCACCUACCAAUCUGAAGAGGUCUGCUUCUUUCUUCUGUCUCUAUUUGUCCUCUGUCUAUGAGGCCCAGUUUCAGUUUUGUACCCAGGGAAUGAACAAGGAUGUGAACUAACAAGAUCUCAUAGCAAAUUAUAGAAAUAUUGUCCCAAUUAAUUCUAAGAGAUCAAGCCUUUUCCUGAGGAAUUUUUGUUUGUUUGUUUAUUUGUUUUUUGGCCUCAUUUAUGGCAUAUGGAAGUUCCACCAUCAGGAAUGGAUCACAUCCCUGAGCCACAACUGCAAUCUAUGAAACAGCUGCAGUAAUGCUGGAUCUUUAACCCACUGCUCCAGGGCCAGGUGAAGAAGCUUUUAUUAGAUGAUUUGAGUGCUUUGCUUUACUUUUUUUGCCUUGCUCACAGCAUGUAGAAGUUCCCGGGCCAGGGAUAGAACCUGUGACACAGCAGCAACCUGAGCCACAGCACUGACAAUGCAGGAUCCUUAACCUGCUGUGCCACAAUGGAACUCUGGAGUACCUUAUUUUAAGCCACUAUGGUUAUUCAUUGGACAGGCAGUAACUGAAGGAAGCAGUAGCGUAUUACAUAAUACUUUCCUAAGCCCUCUUUAAAAAAUAAAAUGUACGCAUAUUUUAUUUUAACAUUGCAUAUAUAAUAAAAUAUACAUGAAUAAGUGUUUAUUAAAAUAGUACAUAUAGCAUUUGGCUCUACUUGCUAUUUAUAAACCACAACAACCCUGUUAAAGUAGGCAAAAUAAUACUUUCUAAAAUACAAUAA
This 4850-nucleotide long non-coding RNA is filed under the name Sus scrofa (pig). RNAcentral's name for it is "lncRNA (ENSSSCG00000061156.1)". Lineage: Eukaryota; Metazoa; Chordata; Mammalia; Artiodactyla; Suidae. The record is from RNAcentral.